Long non-coding RNA from Mus musculus (house mouse), 2685 nucleotides. RefSeq annotates it as predicted gene, 34020. The record is from RefSeq and is a predicted model, not a curated record. NCBI's taxonomy places the organism in Eukaryota, Metazoa, Chordata, Mammalia, Rodentia, Muridae. The transcript has 3 exons.
CAGUUCUUUCCUUUCACCAUGUAAAUCCUGAAGAUUGAACUCUGAUGGUCAGGUUGGUGACAAGUGUCUUUACCACCUCUCUUAGCUAAACAAUUGUUGUUUAACACUGAAGUGACAUGUCCCAACACACCGAGCCAGACAUCUGUCCAAGAUGGCUGUGGUAAUCAGAGGAGGGAUUCAGGAGACGUACAAGUGUGUGGUCCCAUCAGAGAGCGUGGGAUUCCGUGCUCUGGGUUCAAGGAAGGUGAGCUGAGAUCAUUCGGAAAUGAGUCUCUGGAAAUGAGUCUCCAUUUGGUUUUCAUGUCUUCGGCCAUUAUAACUUGUAUUGAGAAGGUGAAUUUAAAAAAUCAGUCUAAACUGGAUUUUCUCCACCUAAGCUUUCACGACAUCUCAGGAGACAGGAUACCACAGCAAUCAAACUUGGAAUUCACCUCUAACCAAAAACUGAGAUGAACAUAUGUCCGAUAAAUUCAUAGAAGCAACAGUAACAACGACCUAACUCCCUGUUUUUCACCCGACCUGACAAAUACUUUUUACUCUUUUCUCCUUUCUGUAUACCUGGAUGUUUGUCAGCAUUAGCUCAAGAGCUGGCCCCGGGGCCAUUCCUGUGGGGCUGUUGCUUAGAAGAGUUCAGUGGCCAAGUUCUGGUAAAAGACUGGUAAAUAAUUCUGCCCAGGUGUAAGGGGCUUUCCUUGGAGGUGAUAGGUUUUGGGGCCCGCUUUCCUGGGAGGUGACAGGUCUUGGGGCCCAGCGUGUCAUUACUUAGCCUGUAGAUCUGAUUUUCUUUGAAAACAAAACAAAACCCCUCAAAAACCCUGUGUUUGGAACUUCCCGUGCUGAGCCCACGCCAGUCUUGAGGUUUCCUAAGACUUGCUGAGUAAAAACAGUACUCACUAUGAGUGUCUUCCUCUGCCUUCCUCUCCGGGAAGACUGGGGAUACAGUGACCUUGUGGUACCGUGGUGAUGUUUCUCUGCACCUUGAUUUUUUUUCUUUCCAUCAGAGUCCUUGUGGCUCAAUAGGUAUGAGAGGGGUGUGUUUUAUGGAAGAACAUGGGUACAGCCCGACUGUUUCCCCGGUCAUCUGCUAUGUAUUUACUAACUUCCUCAAGCCAGGCCAGGGAAACACAAACUCUCUAAUGCUUCUCAGUGGAUUGUGCAAAUAAAAACAAGCCGGUCAGCUCUAGAAGUCUCCAAAGAGCUUGGAUUCAUAUCCCUGAGAACUCAGAGACCAUCCCCUGCCAAAGAGAGUGUCUGACGUGGAGGGAAGGGUGACUGGAUACAGCUAUGCCGCAGAGACACGGCCUUGUGACUGCCUCCUUCAGACAGCCUUUUGUGGCCUGGUGUCUUAGGGCCUAUUUCACAAACUGCUCACCAUCUCUGCUUUGGCCCUCUGAUUUAAGUGCGGUAAUUAGUACAUGGGUAAGAGAGAGAAAGGUCCAGGGAUUUGGAAGCAAAAAGGAGCUUUCUCCCCGAGCUUGGCCCUCCUGGCUCAGCCCCACUCAGAGGCUCAGCUCUGAGGCCUCCCUGGAGUUUUGCAUCAGCGCUUGGUUCAGCCCUAAGAGAAGUUGCGUCAGGCAUGGCAACUUUUGCCUGCUUUGUUUGUAUUCUCUGCGGUGACUGAAGUAUUAAUAAAUGACUCCCCCGGGGAAGUCAGUGAGACUCACGCUAGAAAACAAAUUGAUAUGUAAAACUCUUGGAACAGUGUGGACACAGCGUUUUUAUUCACUAGUGGAUAUCAGCUUUCCUUCCCAGAAUUUUAGAAGAAGACCAAGGGAAACGUGGUUUUCUCUCGUUUUCCACAUGGCCUGUACUCUCUGCUUUCAAACAGUUGGUGAAGCUGCGGGUAGACAUUUCAAUGAGUAGACAGUCCUCUUUCCAGAGAACAGAGGACAGUCGAAAGAAUCGUCCAUCGUCUGAGAUGACCCAGGGGAGGGAAAGGGUUACCCAGGUCAUUUCUUCAGCUGUUAGUCACUGCUAUGGGAGACAAGGCUAGGCCACUGAAAUAUAAAGGGUUCUUUCUUUUCUGUUACUACUAUAGGAGACCAGGCUAGGCCACUGAAAUGCAAAGGGUUUCUGAGCUGAGGCCUUCAUGAAGAUGAGCUCUGCUGCCCUGGGUUCUCCCAACUACUGAAGUCGUCAUCAGAGGCACACAUCCUUAACUGUCUCCGACGGCUGUGGACCCCACUCCGAGGCUUCUGUGUUACAGCUUCAUUGAUGAUCCUGGCAUAUCCAGAGAUACAUGAAGACUGAUCUAAGUCCUUCCUGCUAAGUAAAGAGCCUCCAGGUAGCAGCUUGGCGUUCAAGACACACUAAACUGUGGAACAUCCAUGGAAUGUGAAAAACAGCAGAAGGUCGCUUUCACAACUCCUGUCCUCACCUCAAGCAGGACUCAGACCUAGGAAGGCUUCUCUGACCUCCCUCUGAAGCAGUUGAACGAACCCUGGAGAAAGGCACGCAACCUUGGACCAAAAGAAACGCCUCGUGUCGGAACACAAAGGGGCACGGUGAGAGAAUCCCAGCACAGCUCUGCUAAGCUACCCUGAGUUUAUUACCUUGAGUUUGCGACGGAGAAGUGUGGUGAAAUGCAGGGUGGUGUGAUCUGAUGGUGGGAUGGAAACAGUAAACAUAAAUAUUCAAAACAUAAAUAUUCAAAACAAAUACAGGAUUACUUCAUUAUUUUGGCUC